GGAUUGAACGCUGGCGGCAUGCUUUACACAUGCAAGUCGAACGGCAGCACGGGGGCAACCCUGGUGGCGAGUGGCGAACGGGUGAGUAAUGCAUCGGAACGUAUCUUUAAGUGGGGGAUAACGCAUCGAAAGAUGCGCUAAUACCGCAUAAUCUCUGAGGAGAAAAGCAGGGGAUCGCAAGACCUUGCGCUUUUGGAGCGGCCGAUGUCUGAUUAGCUAGUUGGUGGGGUAAAGGCUUACCAAGGCUUCGAUCAGUAGCUGGUCUGAGAGGACGACAGCCACACUGGACUGAGACACGGCCCAGACUCCUACGGGAGGCAGCAGGUGGGAAUUUUGGACAAGUGGGGGAAACCUGGAUCCAGCCAUCGCCGCGUGAGUAGGAAGAAGGCCGUUACGGUAGUAAGCCUCUUUCGACGUACCGGAACGUAAACGGUUAACGGUUAACGUACCGUUAGACCUAACUGUAACCGGACGGUAAAGAGAACGCG
RNAcentral lists this ribosomal RNA (488 nucleotides) under uncultured soil bacterium. Its description in RNAcentral is "bacterial SSU rRNA". It matches the Rfam family "Bacterial small subunit ribosomal RNA", at positions 27 to 536 of the family's 1533-position model. The record is from RNAcentral.